CAAACUUGCCCAAUAGCCUUUCACCUCUGGAGAGCUGGAGUCAAUUCCGGCGAAUCCGGUCCCGCCGUGCAUCAUGGCAAAGUGAGACUGUUGUCUUGCCACCUGGUUCAGCUUGGCCAGAUCGAGCGGAGAAAUGAGGAAGACAAACAUAAAGAUGAAGUGCUUAAUUCAAGGUCACACAAUGUCGGGGAUGGACCUCCAGAUUUCCUUACUGACCUGCAUUAUCUUGUGGAUACCUGAGUGAAUUCCACACCACCCAUUUUAUAGAUGAAACCACUGAGACAUGGAGCAAUUGACUGAGUAGUCACUGCCCCACCCCUGCCUGGAGCCUCACACAUGACUCGCCUCCUCUCAGUGACCACAGGUGAGACGUGGUCUUGUAACACAGUGGUUAAGAAUGUGACUUUGGAGCCAGCCUGCUAGGGGCUGAAUUCUGACUCAGCCAUUUACUAACUGUGUGACCUUAGGUCACAGAAUUUUCCACACUCCUUGACAGAGGUGCUUAACCCUUAUCCAUCAGCAUUCUCAGACAGCACCUCCGGUUAGGGACAGU
RNAcentral lists this long non-coding RNA (553 nucleotides) under Homo sapiens (human). RNAcentral's name for it is "non-protein coding PCBP1-AS1:219". Lineage: Eukaryota; Metazoa; Chordata; Mammalia; Primates; Hominidae. The record is from RNAcentral.